Molecule: ribosomal RNA, 119 nt
Filed under: Pteropus alecto (black flying fox)
Lineage: Eukaryota; Metazoa; Chordata; Mammalia; Chiroptera; Pteropodidae
Source: RNAcentral
GUCUACGGCCAUGUCACCCUGAACAAGCCUGAUCCUGUCUGAUUUCAGAAGCCAAGCAGGGUUGGGCCUGGUUAGUACUGGGAUGGGAGACUACCUAGGAAGACCAGGUACUGCAGGUG